GACGAACGCUGGCGGCGUGCUUAACACAUGCAAGUCGAACGGAAAGGCCCUGCUUUUGUGGGGUGCUCGAGUGGCGAACGGGUGAGUAACACGUGAGUAACCUGCCCUUGACUUUGGGAUAACUUCAGGAAACUGGGGCUAAUACCGGAUAGGAGCUCUUGCUGCAUGGUGGGGGUUGGAAAGUUUCGGCGGUUGGGGAUGGACUCGCGGCUUAUCCGCUUGUUGGUGGGGUAGUGGCUUACCAAGGCUUUGACGGGUAGCCGGCCUGAGAGGGUGACCGGCCACAUUGGGACUGAGAUACGGCCCAGACUCCUACGGGAGGCAGCAGUGGGGAAUAUUGCACAAUGGGCGGAAGCCUGAUGCAGCAACGCCGCGUGCGGGAUGACGGCCUUCGGGUUGUAAACCGCUUUCGCCUGUGACGAAGCGUGAGUGACGGUAAUGGGUAAAGAAGCACCGGCUAACUACGUG
This 468-nucleotide ribosomal RNA is filed under the name uncultured bacterium. RNAcentral describes it as "partial 16S ribosomal RNA". It matches the Rfam family "Bacterial small subunit ribosomal RNA", at positions 28 to 507 of the family's 1533-position model. The record is from RNAcentral.